GAAAUGCGAUACUUGGUCUGAAUUGCAGAAUCCCGUGAACCAUCGAGUCUUUGAACGCAAGUUGCGCCUGAAGCCAUUAGGCCGAGGGCACGUCUGCCAACCCACCUUGUGUGGCAAAGGGGGAGGAAGAUGGCUUCCCAUUCCUCACCGGGCAUGGUUGGCUUAAAUAAGAAGCCUUAAGUUACGGACUUCUACGGCUAUUGGUGGUACAAUAAGGCUUAGCCUUGGCGUAUCGAGCCGUGAAGUACGUAGCUUCUAUGGGCUUGCAGGACCCUGAGUAUCUCCUUGUUGGGAUUAACCGUUGCGACCCCAGGUCAGGCGGGGUUACCUGCUGAGUUUAA
RNAcentral lists this unclassified non-coding RNA (341 nucleotides) under uncultured fungus. RNAcentral describes it as "sequence contains ITS1". The stretch from base 1 to 99 matches the Rfam family "5.8S ribosomal RNA", at positions 50 to 154 of the family's 154-position model. The record is from RNAcentral. Lineage: Eukaryota; Fungi.